AGCUGCGAAUUCGAUGCAUGGGAACUUGUAUUUGUUCUGAAGAUUCAGUUGAGAUGCUUGACAAUCAAUGUUCCCUAAAACAUGUCCAGCAUUCUCCCCCUCAACAUAGCCUCCGCUUUCCUUACCUGUUUCACUGGUCCAAUUAUGAAUACCUUGUCUGGUGGACCCUUUGCACCCCCAGUGAAAAUUUCCGCAUUGCAAGAUUCCUUUAUUGACACAAUGGAGGCCCCUCGUCUUCCAAUAACACGUCCCAUCUUUCCAGGGGGAACAUCGAGAACUGAAAGGAUUUCCUCCUCAGGAUUAUUACCCUCCGCUAUAAGGUUAUCUGGAAUGGGAGGGACAGAUGGCCAAUCAGCAAAAUCAUUGUCAUUGAUGCAGAAACAUCGGCAAUGCAGAGCACUGCGAACUGCUAGGUACCAUAAGGAUCUUGGGUUUAGUUUCUUCAUCAUUUUAUGAUAGAUAUAAAGAAGAAAUCGAACAUCAUCUGAAGCCGCACGGAUCAUCAUGUUGGACAAUGGUCUAUACAUCCAGAAAUUAGGAUCCUGUCGAAGGAGCACACGAACCUCUUCCUUCUCCAAAUAUGAUAUGCCACAAUAGCGUGGAUCUGCAAGGAGGCCAACAAAAGAUAUAUAGUCAUCCGGCAAUCUAGUCCGUCCUUCUUGCUCCUCUAUCAGAGAAUAAGCAAUCUGGGUAUCAAAAAUAUUGUGCAACUUGAUGCCAAACUGAAAGUACAAUGCCUCACUGUCUCGCUUGCAAUCGUGAAUAAUUUUUGUGAUGUAAGCAGAUUCAAGUGCAGGCUUACAGGCUUUCAUAAGCAUAUCUCCACCCUGAAUGGCAUCAACCAAAAAUAUAGCAUCUGGAAAAGCAAGCUGCAUAAUACAAAGAGUUCCAUGGCAACACAGGUCAACACCCUCACAAUCAAACCCAAUGAUCAAUUGCCGCUCAGGUGAAGGGUUAAGGAAUUCAGCUGGAAGUUGAGAAGCCUCAGUAACAAGAUGAACAGGAACCAGUGAUGAUUGGGCUUCAUGGUCUAGGGGUUUAGCACCAGGGUCUGAGUCCGAGGGGAAAGGAAUGCGUGUGUCAUGGGAAGAAGAAGAGGAGGCCAUCUGACAGAACCAACCAGACUUUCUCAAGUUUGCUUUUCUUCUUCCCUCUAGGUUCUUG
RNAcentral lists this unclassified non-coding RNA (1164 nucleotides) under Hevea brasiliensis (rubber tree). Lineage: Eukaryota; Viridiplantae; Streptophyta; Magnoliopsida; Malpighiales; Euphorbiaceae. The record is from RNAcentral.